This 552-nucleotide ribosomal RNA is filed under the name uncultured bacterium. RNAcentral describes it as "bacterial SSU rRNA". It matches the Rfam family "Bacterial small subunit ribosomal RNA", at positions 979 to 1532 of the family's 1533-position model. The record is from RNAcentral.
CCUUGACAUGUUGGGAACUUUCCAGAGAUGGAUUGGUGCUUCGGGAACCCAAACACAGGUGCUGCAUGGCCGUCGUCAGCUCGUGUCGUGAGAUGUUGGGUUAAGUCCCGUAACGAGCGCAACCCCUAUCCCUAGUUGCUAGCAGUUCGGCUGAGAACUCUAGGGAGACUGCCGGUGACAAACCGGAGGAAGGUGGGGAUGACGUCAGGUCAUCAUGGCCCUUACGGCCAGGGCUACACACGUGCUACAAUGGCGCGCACAGAGGGCUGCAAACCCGCGAGGGGGAGCCAAUCUCACAAAACGCGUCGUAGUCCGGAUCGCAGUCUGCAACUCGACUGCGUGAAGUCGGAAUCGCUAGUAAUCGUGAAUCAGAAUGUCACGGUGAAUACGUUCCCGGGCCUUGUACACACCGCCCGUCACACCAUGGGAGUGGAUUGCACCAGAAGUGGUUAGUCUAACCUUCGGGAGGACGAUCACCACGGUGUGGUUCAUGACUGGGGUGAAGUCGUAACAAGGUAGCCGUAGGGGAACCUGCGGCUGGAUCACCUCCUU